RNAcentral lists this ribosomal RNA (253 nucleotides) under uncultured bacterium. RNAcentral describes it as "partial 16S ribosomal RNA". It matches the Rfam family "Bacterial small subunit ribosomal RNA", at positions 524 to 776 of the family's 1533-position model. The record is from RNAcentral.
UACGUAGGGUGCAAGCGUUGUCCGGAAUUAUUGGGCGUAAAGAGCUCGUAGGCGGUUUGUCGCGUCUGCUGUGAAAACUCAGGGCUUAACCCUGAGCCUGCAGUGGGUACGGGCAGACUAGAGUGUGGUAGGGGAGAUCGGAAUUCCUGGUGUAGCGGUGGAAUGCGCAGAUAUCAGGAGGAACACCGGUGGCGAAGGCGGAUCUCUGGGCCGAUACUGACGCUGAGGAGCGAAAGCGUGGGGAGCGAACAGG